This 600-nucleotide ribosomal RNA is filed under the name bacterium tet-w-52. RNAcentral's name for it is "bacterial SSU rRNA". It matches the Rfam family "Bacterial small subunit ribosomal RNA", at positions 52 to 657 of the family's 1533-position model. The record is from RNAcentral.
CACAUGCAGUCGAGCGGUAGAGAGGUGCUUGCACCUCUUGAGAGCGGCGGACGGGUGAGUAAUACCUAGGAAUCUGCCUGAUAGUGGGGGAUAACGUUCGGAAACGGACGCUAAUACCGCAUACGUCCUACGGGAGAAAGCAGGGGACCUUCGGGCCUUGCGCUAUCAGAUGAGCCUAGGUCGGAUUAGCUAGUUGGUGAGGUAAUGGCUCACCAAGGCUACGAUCCGUAACUGGUCUGAGAGGAUGAUCAGUCACACUGGAACUGAGACACGGUCCAGACUCCUACGGGAGGCAGCAGUGGGGAAUAUUGGACAAUGGGCGAAAGCCUGAUCCAGCCAUGCCGCGUGUGUGAAGAAGGUCUUCGGAUUGUAAAGCACUUUAAGUUGGGAGGAAGGGCAUUAACCUAAUACGUUAGUGCUUUGACGUUACCGACAGAAUAAGCACCGGCUAACUCUGUGCCAGCAGCCGCGGUAAUACAGAGGGUGCAAGCGUUAAUCGGAAUUACUGGCGUAAAGCGCGCGUAGGUGGUUUGUUAAGUUGAAUGUGAAUCCCCGGCUCACCUGGGACUGCAUCCAACUGCAGCUAGAGUAUGUAGAGGG